RNAcentral lists this unclassified non-coding RNA (948 nucleotides) under Hevea brasiliensis (rubber tree). Lineage: Eukaryota; Viridiplantae; Streptophyta; Magnoliopsida; Malpighiales; Euphorbiaceae. The record is from RNAcentral.
AAAAGAAAAAAAGAAAAAAAGAAAUCAUAUAUGCCCUUACAACAUCCAUCACCUUUUGCUAUGUAUAAUACAUGGAUUACAACUAAAUUUUCUGCAUUUUAUGCCUUUUCAAACAAAUAACUCAUAAACACGCAAUAAAAAAUGACAACCCUUUAGCACAUGCAUUAUCCAUCACAAAUGGUGUCAAAGCUGUCGAAUAUUUCCCUGAGUGGACAUUCUGUAAAUGCAUCUCAAACAUGCAAAAUCAUAUAGAUUUUACAUUGUCCAAGUGCAUGAAAUGAAGAAUAAUGCUCUUGAUAUCAACUCAAAAUUUAAAAUUCAUUUUGAAAUAAAGUAUCAAUAAAAUUAGAAAACAUCUCUUCCAAUCUCCAAAUAGACUCAACUUUAUUAGCCAUAUGAUUUCCUUCCAUUUUAACUUCAUUCCUUCUAUUGCUUAUUCUCUUCAUCUAGAGAAAAUGAACUCAUCCCCACAAAUACUAUUAACAAAUAAGUAGUGAACACUAUUAGGGAAGAAAAAGGCCCACCAGAGGAACUAUCUCAAGCUUGACUGAUCUUCUAGCUUGAAAAUUUUUAAUAGUCAAUGAAUCUCCACAUGCAAACAAUUAUUGGAUGCCAUUUAUGGCACAACUUAGAAAAGUGAAAAUGCCAAAUCAGUACAAGGGAAAUAGAAUCUAGGUUUCCUUUAACAAUGUAGUGAUCGAAUAUAAGUUAUAAUCACUACAAGGACAUAAUGAUGCACUAUCCGCAAAGAAGAGCAUGGAUGCACGCACCUCAUGUAUGACCAAUCUGUCUGUGAGAGAACAGAUGUAAAAGUUUUCAUCUAGACAAUGGAAUACAUAAGAACAUAAAUAACAAGUUGGAAAGAAGAAAAUGGUACACAGAACCAAGUACAAUUAACACAUGUCAGCAUAAAUUGCAUUCACCCCAAACUUCAAAAUGGUUAGGCAU